RNAcentral lists this ribosomal RNA (1282 nucleotides) under Staphylococcus aureus. Its description in RNAcentral is "partial 23S ribosomal RNA". It matches the Rfam family "Bacterial large subunit ribosomal RNA", at positions 296 to 1581 of the family's 2925-position model. Lineage: Bacteria; Bacillati; Bacillota; Bacilli; Caryophanales; Staphylococcaceae. The record is from RNAcentral.
AGGACACUCUAUACGGAGUUACAAAGGACGACAUUAGACGAAUCAUCUGGAAAGAUGAAUCAAAGAAGGUAAUAAUCCUGUAGUCGAAAAUGUUGUCUCUCUUGAGUGGAUCCUGAGUACGACGGAGCACGUGAAAUUCCGUCGGAAUCUGGGAGGACCAUCUCCUAAGGCUAAAUACUCUCUAGUGACCGAUAGUGAACCAGUACCGUGAGGGAAAGGUGAAAAGCACCCCGGAAGGGGAGUGAAAUAGAACCUGAAACCGUGUGCUUACAAGUAGUCAGAGCCCGUUAAUGGGUGAUGGCGUGCCUUUUGUAGAAUGAACCGGCGAGUUACGAUUUGAUGCAAGGUUAAGCAGUAAAUGUGGAGCCGUAGCGAAAGCGAGUCUGAAUAGGGCGUUUAGUAUUUGGUCGUAGACCCGAAACCAGGUGAUCUACCCUUGGUCAGGUUGAAGUUCAGGUAACACUGAAUGGAGGACCGAACCGACUUACGUUGAAAAGUGAGCGGAUGAACUGAGGGUAGCGGAGAAAUUCCAAUCGAACCUGGAGAUAGCUGGUUCUCUCCGAAAUAGCUUUAGGGCUAGCCUCAAGUGAUGAUUAUUGGAGGUAGAGCACUGUUUGGACGAGGGGCCCCUCUCGGGUUACCGAAUUCAGACAAACUCCGAAUGCCAAUUAAUUUAACUUGGGAGUCAGAACAUGGGUGAUAAGGUCCGUGUUCGAAAGGGAAACAGCCCAGACCACCAGCUAAGGUCCCAAAAUAUAUGUUAAGUGGAAAAGGAUGUGGCGUUGCCCAGACAACUAGGAUGUUGGCUUAGAAGCAGCCAUCAUUUAAAGAGUGCGUAAUAGCUCACUAGUCGAGUGACACUGCGCCGAAAAUGUACCGGGGCUAAACAUAUUACCGAAGCUGUGGAUUGUCCUUUGGACAAUGGUAGGAGAGCGUUCUAAGGGCGUUGAAGCAUGAUCGUAAGGACAUGUGGAGCGCUUAGAAGUGAGAAUGCCGGUGUGAGUAGCGAAAGAUGGGUGAGAAUCCCGUCCACCGAUUGACUAAGGUUUCCAGAGGAAGGCUCGUCCGCUCUGGGUUAGUCGGGUCCUAAGCUGAGGCCGACAGGCGUAGGCGAUGGAUAACAGGUUGAUAUUCCUGUACCACCUAUAAUCGUUUUAAUCGAUGGGGGGACGCAGUAGGAUAGGCGAAGCGUGCGAUUGGAUUGCACGUCUAAGCAGUAAGGCUGAGUAUUAGGCAAAUCCGGUACUCGUUAAGGCUGAGCUGUGAUGGGGAGAAGACAUUG